RNAcentral lists this ribosomal RNA (497 nucleotides) under uncultured bacterium. RNAcentral describes it as "partial 16S ribosomal RNA". It matches the Rfam family "Bacterial small subunit ribosomal RNA", at positions 28 to 507 of the family's 1533-position model. The record is from RNAcentral.
GAUGAACGCUGGCGGCGUGCCUAAUACAUGCCAGUCGAGCGAACAGAUGAGGAGCUUGCUCCUCUGACGUUAGCGGCGGACGGGUGAGUAACGCGUGGAUAACCUACCUAUAAGACUGGGAUAACUUCGGGAAACCGGAGCUAAUACCGGAUAAUAUAUUGAACCGCAUGGUUCAAUAGUGGAAGACGGUUUUGCUGUCACUUAUAGAUGGAUCCGCGCCGCAUUAGCUAGUUGGUAAGGUAACGGCUUACCAAGGCAACGAUGCGUAGCCGACCUGAGAGGGUGAUCGGCCACACUGGAACUGAGACACGGUCCAGACUCCUACGGGAGGCAGCAGUAGGGAAUCUUCCGCAAUGGGCGAAAGCCUGACGGAGCAACGCCGCGUGAGUGAUGAAGGUCUUCGGAUCGUAAAACUCUGUUAUUAGGGAAGAACAAAUGUGUAAGUAACUAUGCACGUCUUGACGGUACCUAAUCAGAAAGCCACGGCUAACUACGUG